UACGUAGGGGGCAAGCGUUGUCCGGACUUAUUGGGCGUAAAGAGCUCGUAGGCGGUUCCGUAAGUCGUGAAGUCAAAUCUCUGGGCUCAACCCAGAAUCGCUUCCGAUACUGCGGUGACUGGAGUCCGGUAGGGGAGUGUGGAAUUCCUGGUGUAGCGGUGAAAUGCGCAGAUAUCAGGAGGAACACCAACAGCGAAGGCAGCACUCUGGGCCGGUACUGACGCUGAGGAGCGAAAGCAUGGGGAGCGAACAGG
This 254-nucleotide ribosomal RNA is filed under the name uncultured bacterium. Its description in RNAcentral is "partial 16S ribosomal RNA". It matches the Rfam family "Bacterial small subunit ribosomal RNA", at positions 524 to 776 of the family's 1533-position model. The record is from RNAcentral.